RNAcentral lists this ribosomal RNA (82 nucleotides) under Flavobacterium sp. LHD-80. RNAcentral also lists the same sequence under 1 other name. The record is from RNAcentral. Lineage: Bacteria; Pseudomonadati; Bacteroidota; Flavobacteriia; Flavobacteriales; Flavobacteriaceae.
UAAGGUGGUUAUUGCGGCGGGGCUCACCUCUUCCCAUCCCGAACAGAGAAGUUAAGCCCGCCUGCGCAGAUGGUACUGCAGU